Molecule: non-coding RNA, 29 nt
Filed under: Homo sapiens (human)
Lineage: Eukaryota; Metazoa; Chordata; Mammalia; Primates; Hominidae
Source: RNAcentral
UGCACAGAUGAUGACAGGGAGCUACCCUU